Molecule: unclassified non-coding RNA, 284 nt
Filed under: uncultured fungus
Lineage: Eukaryota; Fungi
Description: sequence contains ITS1, 5.8S rRNA gene
Rfam family: 5.8S ribosomal RNA (bases 236-284)
Source: RNAcentral
UUUCCGUAGGUGAACCUGCGGAAGGAUCAUUACCGAGUUUAGGGUCUGACGCCUUUUGGUGUUGGCCCGAACCUCCCAACCCUUUGUCUAUGAUACCAUACAGUUGCUUCGGCGUGCCGAGGGUUAAGACUCUCGCCGGACUUCCAGUCGGGAGCGUGCACGUCGACGGCCUCACUAAACUAUUGGACCCAAAACCUGUCGUCUGAACAUUUGUGAUUACUAUAAUCAAAAACAAAACUUUCAACAACGGAUCUCUUGGUUCUGGCAUCGAUGAAGAACGCAGC